Molecule: ribosomal RNA, 497 nt
Filed under: uncultured bacterium
Lineage: Bacteria
Description: partial 16S ribosomal RNA
Rfam family: Bacterial small subunit ribosomal RNA
Source: RNAcentral
GAUGAACGCUGGCGGCGUGCCUAAUACAUGCAAGUCGAGCGAACAGACGAGGAGCUUGCUCCUCUCACGUUAGCGGCGGACGGGUGAGUAACACGUGGAUACCCUACCUAUAAGACUGGGAUCACUUCGGGAAACCGGAGCUAAUACCGGAUAAUAUCUUGAACCGCAUGGUUCAAUGGUGAAAGACGGUUUUGCUGUCACUUAUAGAUGGUUCCGCGCCGCAUUAGCUAGUUGGUAAGGUAACGGCUUGUCAAGGCAACGAUGCGUAGCCGACCUGAGAGGGUGAUCGGCCACACGGGAACUGAGACACGGACAAGACUCCUACGGGAGGCAGCAGUAGGGAACCUUCGGCAACGGGCGAAAGCCUGACGGAGCAACGGCGCGUGAGUGAUGAAGGUCUUCCGAUCGGAAAACUCUGUUAUUGGGGAAGAACCAAUGUGGAAGUAGCUGUGCACGUCUUGACGGUACCGAAUCAGAAAGCCACGGCUAACUACGUG